CGCAGAGUAGAGCAGCCAGGUAGCUUGUCAGGUUCAUACCCUGAAGGUCGCGGGUUCAAAUCCCGCCUCUGCAA
RNAcentral lists this transfer RNA (74 nucleotides) under Neorhizobium sp. JUb45. Its description in RNAcentral is "tRNA-Met". It matches the Rfam family "tRNA". From Rfam's summary of the family: Transfer RNA (tRNA) molecules are approximately 80 nucleotides in length. Their secondary structure includes four short double-helical elements and three loops (D, anti-codon, and T loops). Lineage: Bacteria; Pseudomonadati; Pseudomonadota; Alphaproteobacteria; Hyphomicrobiales; Rhizobiaceae. The record is from RNAcentral.